UACGGGGGGGGCAAGCGUUGUUCGGAAUUACUGAGCGUAAAGGGCUCGUAGGCGGCCAACUAAGUCAGACGUGAAAUCCCUCGGCUUAACCGGGGAACUGCGUCUGAUACUGGAUGGCUUGAGUUUGGGAGAGGGAUGCGGAAUUCCAGGUGUAGCGGUGAAAUGCGUAGAUAUCUGGAGGAACACCGGUGGCGAAGGCGGUUCUCUGGGCCUGUACUGACGCUGAGGAGCGAAAGCGUGGGGAGCGAACAGG
RNAcentral lists this ribosomal RNA (253 nucleotides) under uncultured bacterium. RNAcentral's name for it is "partial 16S ribosomal RNA". It matches the Rfam family "Bacterial small subunit ribosomal RNA", at positions 524 to 776 of the family's 1533-position model. The record is from RNAcentral.